Molecule: small RNA, 188 nt
Filed under: Pochonia chlamydosporia 170
Lineage: Eukaryota; Fungi; Ascomycota; Sordariomycetes; Hypocreales; Clavicipitaceae
Description: A. fumigatus sRNA Afu_182
Rfam family: A. fumigatus sRNA Afu_182
Source: Rfam by way of RNAcentral
AAUUGAACAACGCAAAAAACACGUUCAAGUUUCUCUCACCAUGCUGGCCCGAGGCGCGCCCUUACAGGCUGUACCCACGACUGCCGGUGAAUGAGAAGCAGAAACGGAGAUCAAAUCGAACAAUCUUGGGUGCGGUGCUUUCCUGGCUUUAUGUCACAUGGGGAGGAUCGCAAUGAUUGAGCGAACAU